RNAcentral lists this unclassified non-coding RNA (1647 nucleotides) under Hevea brasiliensis (rubber tree). The record is from RNAcentral. Lineage: Eukaryota; Viridiplantae; Streptophyta; Magnoliopsida; Malpighiales; Euphorbiaceae.
UUCAUGAGCUACAGAAUCAUAGAUUGAUGACUUCGUUUAUUACCAUUUUCAAAGAGCUGCAAAAUUCCAAACCGUUGCUACAUACUUGGAACUAGCGCAACUUUAUAAAUAAAUACGAAAAAGAAACAGCACUAGGUUCUACCAACAACAUAUACAAGAUCAGGUCGCUAUGAACAGAAUAAUACACUUGAAUAAACACUAUAAAGAGAAGAUGUAGAUUUGAACACUCGAAGCUUUGUACUCUCUCAUGGCAACUGCUUCACAAUGCGGGUUAAAAAAAAAAUGUUUUUGGAUACUAUUUCACACAGUGCAAGGAGGAGCUUAAUUCCACUUGAAUUUGAUAAACUGAAUGAAAAUGCAUUCUGAUGUAGCUGUAAAGUUUGCUUAGUUGUCAUUGUGGCGAAUGGAAUCUGCAAGGAAAUAUGUAUAACAGAAUUGCAGUCCAGCCAAGAAAAAAGGAUGAUGUAUCUGCAUGAUGUUCAUCUCCUCCCUGAAUUUACAUGAUGGUUUCACUUUACAGCAAUAAGCAUUUCAGCUUUCAGACAUCCAGUUCCCUUCUUUCUCCAUUUUCUUCCUGACCAGGUAUGGAUUUCAGCUGCUGCUGCAACUGCACAUAUUUCAGCCUUUCAGAAUUAAGUUCAUCAGUCAAAUUGAUCAUCCUAGCUUGAAGCUCAGAAAUUUUCAUCAACAACAAUCGUUCCCUCUCAGAAGGUGCCGCUUCAACACUUCCAUUAUUCUCUGAACCACGAGGCAAUGGUGGCAACUUUCCAUUUUGUACAUCUACAGCUUCAGCUGGUUGCAAGCUAUUGAACAAAUUCACAAUAAGAUCCUGUUGAAUUGAGGUCUGCUGAAAAAGGUUCUGCAGGUAAGGCAUAAGGAGUGAUGCAGGUAAAUUGCUAUUGCUGAUCUCCUUGGGAGACUGACUGGUAGACGUUUGUUUGGACUCAAAAAUCCAAUCACCAACACUUGCAGACUUUCUUAGUGGUGAUCCCUGUGAAGAUCGACGUGGAACUGUACUUAAUGGAAUAUCCUUUACGAGAUCUAAAUUUUCUGAUGUUACUGAAAAUCGCCCCUUGAUUUGCACUAGAUUAGCCUUUGACUUCUCAUCCAAAGAAUCUCUAAAUCCUCCUGAAGAUUUUAUAGGAGCUGAUAAACUGUUUGCAGAAGCUCGGUUUGGAAGCAUCAGUGGACCACUAAAGCUUGGAGCUUUUCGAACUUCACGAGUGGUUUUCUCUGUUAUUGGCUGACUGUCAUUCUCAGACCUUUCCCAAAAACGCCCCUUGUCUGACAAUGAAUGGCCAAGUACAGCACCAGGCACAAGUGGCCCACUCUGACUUUGGCGGCCCUUCACCAUUUUAGCCUUAUCCUGAGUCAUGUCCCUUUCAGAGGUUGAUACUUUUUCAUCAUUGGUUGCAUCAUUUUUCUUCCAACCAAAUUUCUCUUGGAUCCCAGUUUCUAGAGUAUCACUUUCAAGGAGCUUGCCCUUUCUGAUCAAGCUCUCAGCAUGCGACAAUUCAUCUGCACCCGUCCGUGCUCUGCACUCAACUUGCUGUAUUUCACUAUUUGAGUUCAGUUUCACAGAACUGGAUUGACCAUCAGACAGAGACUUAUCACUACCAAAUUGUUUCAUGCAUUCAUCUUCUUCCC